Molecule: ribosomal RNA, 147 nt
Filed under: uncultured bacterium
Lineage: Bacteria
Description: partial 16S ribosomal RNA
Rfam family: Bacterial small subunit ribosomal RNA
Source: RNAcentral
CCUACGGGAGGCAGCGAGUGGGGAAUAUUGGACGAUGGGCGAAAGCCUGAUCCAGCCAUGCCGCGUGUGUGAAGAAGGUCUUCGGAUUGUAAAGCACUUUAAGUUGGGAGGAAGGGCAGUAAAUUAAUACUUGCUGUUUGACGUACC